AAAUGAAAUCAAAAUUUAUGAAGUAGGUUAAUGAAUUACUAACAAUUAACCAUUAAUGAAUUGAUUUAACAACAAUAUGUAUUGAAGAAUUCUGUUAAAACAAAAAGGGAAAUUAAAGCAAAAUAAAGCAAAAAAAAAAAAAAAAAAUUUCAUUCCCACUACCCUUCUGUCUCCCUUCUCUUGUUCCCUACUCUAGCUCCCUAGGGUGAGGAGCCCCCAACCAUCUUACAAACCACCUUAACCUUGUUACCUACAAUUUAUCUGUAAGUAUUAAGUGAAUUAGGGAUGGAAUUCACAACACAAAAACCACAAAAUCACAAAAGCUCCACCUCAAAUCUCUCGGCACAACCACACCACCACCACAUGUGCACUACUUUUUAGCGCGACUCUUUUCUCUCGACCACCGGGAACACCGCGCCGGCAUCCCUGCUACCCCAGCGCCGCACAAGCUCUCCUUUUUCCUUCGUUCUCUUCUUCGCUUUGUCUGCUUUACUGUUGCUCCUGCUCGUCGUUUCACCACCCUGUUAGCUGCUGUAACCUUGCCGAACCCACACUGCCACCACCGAACCUAGAGCCCAGUCUCAUUGGAGCUCCCCGAACUCCCCUAUUGCGUUUCUCCCCUGCUCUUGAGGCAAAGGUACUGAUGAUGAUAACGGGAUGGCGUAGAUAUGGGGAGUUGUUUUAGUUUUAAGCUUUCUUAAAACACUUAUGAGUAAGUUUAUAUGUUUAUAUCAAACUAAGUUAGUUGCUAAGUUUCAACUUAGUUUUUAAUUAAUGGAUAAUUAUGAUGCUUUCAAGCUAUAUUAUGAUUAACACUAGAGGAAAAAACUGGAAGAGUUGCGCUUUAGGGGCUGCGUUUUUAGAAAAUGCAGCUCUUAAGUAUGAAGGGUUGCAGUUAACCGGAAAAAGCAGCCCUUUUGAUACGAAGGGUUGCGGUUUUUAAGGUAACCACAACCCUUUAUGUGAAGAGUUGUGGUUUCUCAAUUAACCGCAACCAUUCUGAAACGAAGGGUUGCGGUUUAAUGACGCCCGUAGCCCUUCACUGAAGUGAAGGUAUGCGUUUAGCCCAAAAAAAUACAGCCCUUCACUUUAAAAGGGUUGCGGUGAAGGGCUAAACGCAACAUUUCCCUUAACUAAAAAAAUAUGUGCACGCACUAAUUUACUAAAAACUACACGAAUUUCCCUCGCUCGUUCACUUUCUCCCUCCCUCGUUAGAAAUACUGUAUAGGCUUUCAAUCAUUAGGCAAAGUGAUCCUUGACCAUGCGAGAGCGGCUAGGUGAUCUUUAAGGGAGGUAAUGUUCGAGAGAAAUUACAUAUGCCCUAGAUAAAUUGAUUUAUUAGGUAGUUGUUAUUCGUCCCUGAUUUCCCGAAUGGUAUGCAUAGUGAUCCAUAAUCCUAGCUCUUUAUUAAUUGAUGAGAUGGUAUAGUGUCAGACUUGUCUGACAAACCAUUCUCUUCGGACGAAACCACGCGCGUCUUAGUUAAAAGCAGCAAAACAAUAUCAAGACCAAAUGAAAGAAAAACAACACAAGCUGAAAGAAUAAUAAGGCUAACUGAAACAAAGUAAAAUGAAACCUGAAUGAAAAAAGAAGCACUAACUGAAAGAAAAAAAGAACCAAGUGAAAUAAACAAGCAACAAAAUGAAACAUAAACAAACCAAACACCCAAAUAAACACACCAACUAAAAACAAAUACACCAUUACCAAAAGAAAGGUAGUAAUAUGUAAAUACCAAAGAAGCUAGAAGCUAAAUACUAAACAACUGAAACACAUAAAAAAUCACAUGAAUCAUUAAACAAACCAAAUAAACAAAUUAAACAAUUCAAUAACAAUCUGAAAGAAUUUACGCACCAACUGAAAGAAUACAAGAAUCAACUGAAAGAAUACAAUAAUCAACUGAAAACAUCAAAAAAUCAAAGAAAAACAAAAUCAAAAAUACCAAAUGAAAGAUAGAAAUGUCUAAAUGAAAGAAAAACAACAUCAAAUGAAAGGAAAACAUAUGUGAAUGAUACAAAACAACAAUUAAAA
This is a long non-coding RNA of Beta vulgaris subsp. vulgaris (sugar beet), 2028 nucleotides long. RefSeq lists it as uncharacterized. The transcript is spliced from 2 exons. NCBI's taxonomy places the organism in Eukaryota, Viridiplantae, Streptophyta, Magnoliopsida, Caryophyllales, Amaranthaceae. The record is from RefSeq and is a predicted model, not a curated record.